GCCUGGGUGGCUCAGUCAGUUGAGUGUCUGACUGCGGCUCAGGUCAUGAUCUCGCGGUUCGUGGGUUCGAGUCCCGCGUCAGGCU
This 85-nucleotide transfer RNA is filed under the name Felis catus (domestic cat). It matches the Rfam family "tRNA". Rfam says of the family: Transfer RNA (tRNA) molecules are approximately 80 nucleotides in length. Their secondary structure includes four short double-helical elements and three loops (D, anti-codon, and T loops). Further hydrogen bonds mediate the characteristic L-shaped molecular structure. tRNAs have two regions of fundamental functional importance: the anti-codon, which is responsible for specific mRNA codon recognition, and the 3' end, to which the tRNAs corresponding amino acid is attached (by aminoacyl-tRNA synthetases). tRNAs cope with the degeneracy of the genetic code in two manners: having more than one tRNA (with a specific anti-codon) for a particular amino acid; and 'wobble' base-pairing, i.e. permitting non-standard base-pairing at the 3rd anti-codon position. The record is from Rfam by way of RNAcentral. Lineage: Eukaryota; Metazoa; Chordata; Mammalia; Carnivora; Felidae.